RNA transcript from Talpa occidentalis (Iberian mole), 1179 nucleotides. It is a transcript of the gene named P2R1A-PPP2R2A-interacting phosphatase regulator 1-like, with no coding region annotated. The record is from RefSeq and is a predicted model, not a curated record. NCBI's taxonomy places the organism in Eukaryota, Metazoa, Chordata, Mammalia, Eulipotyphla, Talpidae. The transcript is spliced from 13 exons.
CAAACUGGGACAUACCAACAGAGAAGUAGCAUAAGUGACAAGGUACAGAGCUAAACAAACCAUGGCAUAUUGUUAUGGAACAGAAAGUGCUGAUCACGAAACAGAUUCAGUCGACUUGUCCUUAUGUGAAGGACAGCCAGAAAGCCUGGAGACCACCCAACAAAGUGACUUCUUCCGCGACACGGACAUGGCAGAGGAGAAAAUGGAAGUAGACUGGGAGCUGCUGUCGAGUGCAACCACCCAAGAGAACAGCAUCCUGAAAAGAUCCAACAGCGCACCUUUGAUCUGUGGGCUCUGUGAUGAUUCACAAGUGUUGCAUGCUGAAUCAUUAAGAACUAGAAGAAAUAGUGCGACAUUUGUGACACCACCCUAUCCGUUUUUUCCACCUUCUCCCUUUCGGACUUCCAUUAGUCGUCUUCAUCAAAUCAAACAGGAAGAAGGCAUGGAUUUAGUAAAUAGAGAAGCAGCGCAUGAGUGGGAGGUACAAGCAUCAAUACAUAUAAGUCAGUCUUGGGAAGAAAAUUUGAACCUGAAUGACCAUGAUUUAGAGCAACCAUCUGCUAACGUUGCUGAUUUACAUCCAAUAUCCCCAGCUUCCAUCAGUGGGAUUGGGAAGCAGUGUUUUUCUCCAUCAAUACAAACUUGUGUGAGUUGCUUCAGUUUGCCUUCAAGUCCUAUUCCCAGUCCUACGCGACAGUUUACAAUAAAAAGAAGUAAAAGUCCCACCAACAUUCUCAGGCCAAGCAUCCUUGGACCAUUAAAAAGAAAAGGUGAAAUGGUAUUUGAAGAUCAGCCGAAGAGAUCUUUCCCAGGCAUGACCAACAUGUCUUCUGAAACUACCCAACAACAUUCCCAAGAUAGGAAUGUGUAUAGGCAGAUUUUCAACUAAGAUUCACCCAUCCCAGGGCUUUCUCACUAAUGGAGAGACACACAUGCACGUGCAUAUGCACACACGUCGGAGCAGUAACAAAAUGGAAUGGGGAAGCCUGAGGAGAGCGAGAGAGAUCAGGCAACUGCUGGCCGGUAGAACAGUCAGUACACACACAACAUUCACUGACUGAGUUUACCAUCUUAUGGAGAAGAGCUGGCUCAGUUAGAUAUAGAAUCUUCCCAGUCUGCUCAAAGGAUCAAGUAGCUCCAUCUGACACAUCAGUUCUGCAGCUUAAAAUAAAGAAAAGG